CUUGGGGGUAAUUGAGUUUGCCCUGUCAUCGUAUCACCUUGAACAAAGCAUGUCGCUCAAAAUGGGGUCUUCAGACAAGGAGUGUUGAGCAUGGAAUGAGAGAAAACGAGAAGAGAUUGUGGAAGAAGUAACAUUUUUCUGGAAUUUUUUCUAAUGGCAAAUGGGAAUUAUAGGAGGAAGUUUGUAUUAUGAAGCUAGAGGUGAAAUUCUUGGAUUUUCAUAAGACAAACUAAGGCGAAGGCAUUCUUCAACGGAAUAUCCGUCGAUCAAGAACGAUAGAAGGGGAUCGAAGACGAUCAGAUACCGUCGUAGUCUCUUCAGUAAACUAUGCCGUCUUUGAAUGGGGAAGCGAUUUAAGUGAGGGGAAGGUGAAAGUCUUCUUUGAACUAAUGUCCAUCUCCGCGCAAUAAAAGAAAUUAAGAGAUUUUGGGUUCC
This 435-nucleotide ribosomal RNA is filed under the name uncultured eukaryote. RNAcentral's name for it is "bacterial SSU rRNA". It matches the Rfam family "Eukaryotic small subunit ribosomal RNA", at positions 719 to 1115 of the family's 1831-position model. The record is from RNAcentral.